RNAcentral lists this ribosomal RNA (536 nucleotides) under Enyalius sp. catenatus 2. Its description in RNAcentral is "partial 16S ribosomal RNA". It matches the Rfam family "Bacterial large subunit ribosomal RNA", at positions 1836 to 2619 of the family's 2925-position model. Lineage: Eukaryota; Metazoa; Chordata; Lepidosauria; Squamata; Leiosauridae. The record is from RNAcentral.
CCUAUAAGUAUUAAAGGUAACGCCUGCCCAGUGACAAUUUUAACGGCCGCGGUAUUCUAACCGUGCAAAGGUAGCGUAAUCACUUGUCCACUAAAUAUGGACUAGUAUGAACGGCUAAAUGAGGACUAACCUGUCUCCUUUAUCCAAUCAGUGAAACUGAUCUUUCAGUACAAAAGCUGAAAUACUCACAUAAGACGAGAAGACCCUGUGGAGCUUUAAAUUAAUAUUAAUAGCACUACACACAUGCUUCAUAAUUAAAAAUUUUAAGUUGGGGCAACUUCGAAACAAAACCAAACUUUCGAGAAUAAGACAUUACAUCAAACUAAGGCCAACAGGCCAAAGAAAAAUUGACCCAGUACAACUGAUAAACGAACCAAGUUACCCCAGGGAUAACAGCGCCAUCUUCUUAAAGAGUUCAUAUCGACAAGAAGGUUUACGACCUCGAUGUUGGAUCAGGACACCCCAACGGUGCAGCCGCUGUUAAAGGUUCGUUUGUUCAACGAUUAAUAGUCCUACGUGAUCUGAGUUCAGACCGG